RNAcentral lists this ribosomal RNA (1488 nucleotides) under human gut metagenome. RNAcentral describes it as "bacterial LSU rRNA". It matches the Rfam family "Bacterial large subunit ribosomal RNA", at positions 493 to 1977 of the family's 2925-position model. The record is from RNAcentral.
AACCAGUACCGUGAGGGAAAGGUGAAAAGCACUUCGAACAGAAGAGUGAAAUAGUCCCUGAACCCAUACGCCUACAAGCUGUCGGAGCCGCUUCGUGCGGUGACGGCGUGCCUUUUGCAUAAUGAGCCUACGAGUUACUCAUCACCAGCGAGGUUAAGUACUUCAGGUACGUAAGCCGAAGCGAAAGCGAGUCUGAAUAGGGCGUCAAGUUGGUGGUGGUAGACGCGAAACCUUAGUGAUCUACCCAUGGGCAGGGUGAAGGUUUGGUAACACAAACUGGAGGCCCGAACCGGUAAACGUUGAAAAGUUUUCGGAUGACCUGUGGGUAGGGGUGAAAGGCCAAUCAAACUGGGAAAUAGCUCGUACUCUCCGAAAUGCAUUUAGGUGCAGCCUCUGUUGUUUUGUUCUAGAGGUAGAGCUACUGAUUGGAUGCGAGGGCUUCACCGCCUAUCAAAUCCGGCCAAACUCCGAAUGCUAGAACAUGAAGACAGGGAGUGAGCCAGCGGGUGCUAAGGUCCGUUGACGAAAGAGGGAGAACUCAGACCAUCAGCUAAGGUCCCCAAUUGUAUGCUAAGUUGGAAUAAAAACGGGGUGGGACUGCUUAGACAGCUAGGAUGUUGGCUUGGAAGCAGCCAUUCAUUUAAAGAGUGCGUAACAGCUCACUAGUCGAGCGGUCCUGCAUGGAUAAUACGCGGGCAUAAGCAUAUAACCGAAGCUAUGGGAUUGUAGAUGAUACAAUCGGUAGGAGAGCAUUCCAUUCAGCAUAGAAGCAGUACCGUGAGGUAUUGUGGAGCGGAUGGAAAAGCAAAUGUAGGCAUAAGUAACGAUAAUGCGGGUGAGAACCCCGCACGCCGAAAGAUCAAGGAUUCCCCGGCAAUGUCAAUCAUCCGGGGGUAAGUCGGAUCCUAAGGGUAAGCCGAGUGGCGAUCCCGAUGGUAAACAGGUUAAUAUUCCUGUACUGAUCAUAACUGCGAUGCAGCGACGCAGAGGUGACACUGCUGCGUACUGACGGAAUAGUACGUUGAAACCCGUAUUCUUUGAUACCGGUAGUGAAGCACGCCGGUAGAGAUGAAAGGUGAUAGUACCGCAAUGCUUCGGUUGCGCGGAUAAUGCAGGUAAGCUGACUGCCAAGAAAACCUGCUAAGCUUCAGGUAAUGAUCAUCCGUACUGUAAACGGACACACGUGAUCAGGUAGAAAAUACUAAGGCGCUCGAGAGAUUCAUGGUUAAGGAACUAGGCAAAAUGGUCCUGUAACUUCGGGAUAAAGGACGCUCUUGUGAAAGAGCCGCAGAUAAUAGGCCCAGGCGACUGUUUACCAAAAACACAUGGCUAUGCUAAUUCGCAAGAAGAUGUAUAUGGCCUGACACCUGCCCGGUGCCGGAAGGUUAAGAGGAGAGCUCAUCAGCGAUGAGAAGGCUUGAAUUGAAGCCCCGGUAAACGGCGGCCGUAACUAUAACGGUCCUAAGGUAGCGAAAUUCCUUGUCGGGU